This 75-nucleotide transfer RNA is filed under the name Podarcis lilfordi (Lilford's wall lizard). RNAcentral's name for it is "tRNA.Ala". Lineage: Eukaryota; Metazoa; Chordata; Lepidosauria; Squamata; Lacertidae. The record is from RNAcentral.
GGAAAGGGUGUGACUCAGUGGUAAAGAACAUGCUUUGCAUGCAAAAGGUCUCAGGUUCAAUCUCUGGGACCUCUG